This is an RNA transcript of Raphanus sativus (radish), 1027 nucleotides long. RefSeq lists it as uncharacterized. The transcript has 4 exons. Lineage: Eukaryota; Viridiplantae; Streptophyta; Magnoliopsida; Brassicales; Brassicaceae. The record is from RefSeq and is a predicted model, not a curated record.
UUAAGAUAGCCCAGAGAGUAAUUAAUUGUCUUAGCGCAUAUAGAAAAGUAAUUGAACCGGUUCCAUCAAACCGUAGCAUCAGUGGUAACGUCAAAAGCGUAGCGCACAUCAAUAGAUCAAGAGAUCCAAAGGCGAAACAUCGAUGAUGACAGGGAGGGACUUGAUUGUCUGAAACUUGCAACUCUGUUUCGAAUGGUUAAGUCUAUCAAGGAGAGAACCGAGGAUGACGAUCGGUAGCAGUUUCUGUGUAACCGAUUGUUUCUCUCAGACCACAAGAAGUAAAUUGUGGCUUGGCAAGCAAGAAGACAGAGCCUUGCAACUUGCUGCCACAAUUGGCUCGAGAAGUCACAAGCGAAGAAGAGGUGACAAAAGAACCAGCAGCCUUACUAGUAAGCAGAGUUUGCAGGUCUUCCAUGUGUGUGUCUGAGCUUGCCGCGACCAUAGAGGAAGCAGCUUGCAAAAUGUCAGCACAGCAGGGAACAGGACCAGAAAGUAAUGGGUGGGAACUCAACCGCAGAGAUGGUAGAGUUAGGAGGAUCAGGCGGAAGCUAGGAGGGAGGAGAGGCCUUCCACGAGCAGCGAAAGCUAACGGAGAUCCAGAUCCAUGGGGAUUCCCUUCUGGGAACCACACGUUCUUUUCUUCUUCCUUCGUCGUUGCUUUGCGUCCGAAGAGUUCGACACUCAAAACCUCUACUUUUUCUCUCGAUUCUUCUGGGAAAUUUUUGCUAGCUUCUCGAAUCAAGGUUUGGUAGGAUGGAAUCUCUCACGUUUAAGGGUCUGUUAGGGAAGCAUUGGCUGAAGCUAAGGACAAGAAGAAGCUGUUGCUUGUGUACUUCUCUGGAGAGGAUGAAAAGUCAGACAGGUUGAACAAGAUGACACUGACUGAUGCAUCUGUAGGUUUUUAUUUACCUUCUCUCGGUUGUAUUUGUAAUCAAAGAGUGGGUCUACAAACCCCGCAUCACUUUGUUGACACGCAUCUAAGUAAAGGGUUGUAACACGACACGCAUGGUUACACUCAUUUUGUUUA